RNAcentral lists this ribosomal RNA (447 nucleotides) under uncultured Neisseria sp. RNAcentral's name for it is "bacterial SSU rRNA". It matches the Rfam family "Bacterial small subunit ribosomal RNA", at positions 36 to 472 of the family's 1533-position model. Lineage: Bacteria; Pseudomonadati; Pseudomonadota; Betaproteobacteria; Neisseriales; Neisseriaceae. The record is from RNAcentral.
CUGGGGGCAUGCUUUACACAUGCAAGUCGAACGGCAGCACGAAAGAGCUUGCUCUUUUGGUGGCGAGUGGCGAACGGGUGAGUAAUACAUUGGAACGUACCGAGUAAUGGGGGAUAACUGUCCGAAAGGAUGGCUAAUACCGCAUACGCUCUGAGGAGGAAAGCGGGGGACCUUCGGGCCUCGCGUUAUUCGAGCGGCCAAUGUCUGAUUAGCUAGUUGGUGGGGUAAAGGCCUACCAAGGCGACGAUCAGUAGUGGGUCUGAGAGGAUGAUCCGCCACACUGGGACUGAGACACGGCCCAGACUCCUACGGGAGGCAGCAGUGGGGAAUUUUGGACAAUGGGCGAAAGCCUGAUCCAGCCAUGCCGCGUGUCUGAAGAAGGCCUUCGGGUUGUAAAGGACUUUUGUCAGGGAAGAAAGGGUUUGGGUUAAUACCCUGAGCUUAUGA